UACGUAGGGUGCAAGCGUUGUCCGGAAUUACUGGGCGUAAAGGGCGCGUAGGCGGUCUUCUAAGUCUUGUGUGAAAUCCCCGGGCUCAACCCGGGAACUGCGUCCGAUACUGGCAGGCUUGAAUCCGGGAGAGGGAUGCGGAAUUCCAGGUGUAGCGGUGAAAUGCGUAGAUAUCUGGAGGAACACCGGUGGCGAAGGCGGCAUCCUGGACCGGCAUUGACGCUGAGGCGCGAAAGCCAGGGGAGCAAACGGG
This 253-nucleotide ribosomal RNA is filed under the name uncultured bacterium. RNAcentral describes it as "partial 16S ribosomal RNA". It matches the Rfam family "Bacterial small subunit ribosomal RNA", at positions 524 to 776 of the family's 1533-position model. The record is from RNAcentral.